This 202-nucleotide long non-coding RNA is filed under the name Amborella trichopoda. RNAcentral describes it as "long non-coding RNA (ATRI_LNC003321)". The record is from RNAcentral. Lineage: Eukaryota; Viridiplantae; Streptophyta; Magnoliopsida; Amborellales; Amborellaceae.
CCCACCAUGCAUGUCUGAGCUAGACCCACCGGGCAUUCUAAACCCACAUUCCCUCUGAUAUUGUUCAUGUAAACUCAAUCUUGUGGCCAUGUCCAGCUCAUUAUUAUAUUGCUCUUCUAGGUCAUUAUUAUAUUGCUCUUCUGUAUCAUUCCUGCUUGAUGGUGUAUAUAAACUAGCUAUCUCCUCAUUCAUCCUAUGUUUG